GAAUCGAACCUGCUCUGGACUGGGGACUCGGGGGAGCACCGGGAGCUUGCACCCGUGGACUACCGGGAGCCCAGCCUGGGCAGCGGCAUUUUCCAGCGCCAGAGGGAUUGAUAACAGAGCGAACACCCACAGGAAAGAGACCCUCUGAAUUUGUCAUCUCUUCUGAAGGGCGAGAGGGACAAGCCUCUUUUCUCCUGGGCAAGAACUGAUUUUUUUGUGGGCCUGUUCCUGUUUCCAGACAGUAGGCCUGGAGCAGGCUUUUUCUCCUGUUACCAGUGGUGGCAAGAAAACCCAGGCUGAAGCUCCUGUUUUACUUGACACAGGACCUAAGAUUUCUGGAAGUGAGUGGGAAAAACAAGAGGAAAAGUCUUUGGCUUUUUUAUCCAUGAUGGGAAGAAAGAUGACCUUGCCUUCAUCCUUCUCUCCCCCUCUUCACUUCCAACAAUUUUGCUAACACUGAUUAGUAUAAGAUAAAAUACUGUCACAGCCAAGAGGCUGGAAAUGGAGUAUGUUACUUAGGUGAGUAAAACAGGCUACUGCUCUGUUCUUGAAAAAAAAAAAAAAAAAAAAAAAAAAAAAAAAGAAAUAAAAAAAAAGUGGAAUCUUUAGGUUGACCAAGUCAAGAUGGGCAACUUGGAUAGAAAGCUUAAUGAAAACUCUAUAAAUUUCAGAUGAGGUCAAAUCUCUGUUCUCUUUUUACACAAAGGCAAAUGUACUAAUCCUUAUCUCUGCCUGUCUUGUGCAUUGUUAUACCCUGUUCAAGUGAGUAGCGCUGAUGCAGAAAGCUCUCCAUCUGUCCUAAUUAAGACAGGCUGUACAAAACAUCAUUAGGUGGAACAAAGCAAAGCAUCUACUUGCAAUGCUGUCUGCAAAUCCAUUACAUAACUUGAGUCCUUUAGCCAUCAGUUACCUUGGAGUAAAACACUUGAGGCUGACAAGCCCUUAGUGGUGGUGAUGAAGCAAUGUGCUGUAAUCCUGAGCUGUUACCACAGAAUUUUUGCUAAACAGAAAUAACCAAAGUAGAGUGAAAAAAACUUAUGUGCUAAGUUUUCUUUCUUUUAACUCAUUCUCUAUGGUUUCUCUACUGCACUUAAGAGAUUUGUUGGCUAAGGUGUGGUAGCUCACUGAACAACAUUAACAUCAAAAUUGUGCAGCUUUUUCUUUUUCUAAUGAUGGAAGUGAUGGAUGAAAUGUUUUACUUUGUUUUUUAGAUGUUCUUGUUUUUCAGCUUCUAGAAAAAAUGCACUUUAAAGAAUGUAUAUUUUAUUCAGAGGAGAAAGAGUGGAAAAGUUUUGAUUCACCUUUCCAUGUGUGAGAAUUCAUUUCAAGGUUGUGGACUUUGGCCCAGUAGUGGUUCAAUUUGAAAAGUAACUCAGAGGUGGGCAAGAAUUUUCUUCCAUUAGGGAUAUGUAGUUGAAAAGUACAUUCCCAGUUUUUCUUGUUUAUUUUUGUUGUUGUUGUUUCCUCUUUUUUCCAAUGAGGAAAUUUGAGUACAAUUGAAAUAUUUACCAUUUCAUACAGCUAAAGCAUUUUUGGUUUUUUUUCAGUUAUGCAUUUAUUUGCAUCUACAUGGGAAUUCAUAUUGAAAGGAAUACUUAUUACUUUUUCCUCUUCAAUGGAAAAAAUGUUAACACCAGCUUUUAAAAUUAUGUGGACUGACUUCCAGCAGCACAGACUCAUUUCUAACCUGCACAGUGGACUCUAGGACUGCAGCAGGAUGAAGGAAUUCCCCCACAGCUGCUCCUCUCUGGCACUGAAAAGUAUUAGUGGCUGGCUGGUGAUAGAAGAACAUAAAUAAUUUCAGAAUUUCCAAACUUAAUAUUGUCUGGAAACCUAGAAGAAAAUGUAGAUAGACGGAUUAAGUUUUUAUUUCUUAUGUAAGAAAGAAAUAUUAAAAUAUUGGCAUUUUUGUUUGAAACUGGGACAUUGCACAGCUCACCAGGAGAGGAACAGCAGUCUCCCCACAAUCCCCUUGUGGGAGAGGUCAGUACUGGUAGCUGUCACCUCCCAUCCACUUUACAGGCUAUUACAUUUGUCUGCAGAAAAGAAUCACCUGAAAGGCUCAGCAGCAUCAUCUCUCCCAAAUUUCCUCUUGCAUUCUGUGUUUCUCGGGCUGAGCAUCAUGAAGUUGCCUGCCUGUUUUUAUUGUUGUUUUUUUUGGUUUUUUUUUUCUAGUUACCAGAGCUGUGACAGCACAAAACCCCAGGCAAGGCAAUGCAAUUAAGAAGUUUUAAGGCCUCUCCAGGAGCAAACAAGUACCCAACUUGGCAUACAUAUAUGUUAUUCAUUUCUCAGACUUUUUGUUUGUUCUGCUGCUCCUGGAGCACAGUUCCACUCAUGGCAGUUUUCCUCUGCAGUCUAACACAGCGUCCUUCAGCCCCUCUUGUCCUGAGACAACGGGGAGCCUUGUCUGCACUUAGUAGAAUCAAGCAUUUCUAGAGAAAGAAGGAACCCCCCUGAUGAUAGAAGGAAGAUCUAGCAGGAUAAAUAAUUUAAGAUAGCAGUGAAAAGAGUAGGAGGAGCACAAAGAGGAAAGAUAAAGUCAAAGGAAGGGACAGGAUCAAAAGAGAGGGGAGAUGACAAGUGAGAGCAGAACUGUGAGGGCGAGAACAAUGGAGAUGCUGCAGCAGCACUGGAAGACUAAAAAAUGUUGAGCCUUGAUACGUUCAGAGUUCAACUUUCCUUUAGCAAUGCAUGGAACAGUAUGUCGAGAUGGAGUUUCAGCAUCUACAUGUAACAAAGCAACCACUUUUAUCCAUUAUUUAAACACAAGGCAUCAAGAUCCACCGUGCAACUUUGCCUGGUACAAGGGCAGGUGUCUUGUUUCCUUUGCUAUGUCUGCACGUGUCUUGCAGCUGCAUGUUGCAGAAAUAAUGCAGGACCAGAUGCACAAGCUCUGUCACACAGGACCUGCAGUCAAGUCCCGCCUGUUCACAUAUGCCCAAGAUAUUUCUGUGAAAGCAACAGGUAGAUUUGGUAUCUGCCUUUUCAUACUACCUUUAAGAUUAAGAACAUAAGCAGUACUUUAUUCUUUGUCUUUUAAGAUGCCAUUUAACUUUCCCAUGCAGCUGAUUACACAUCAGGAAUUGGAGGACAG
Long non-coding RNA from Parus major (Great Tit), 3097 nucleotides. RefSeq lists it as uncharacterized. The record is from RefSeq and is a predicted model, not a curated record. The transcript is spliced from 4 exons. Lineage: Eukaryota; Metazoa; Chordata; Aves; Passeriformes; Paridae.